CCGGUACAACGGGGUGCGACACGGUGACGUGGGGCGGAUCCCUGAAAAACCGGUCUCAGUUCGGAUCGCAGUCUGCAACUCGACUGCGUGAAGGUGGAGUCGCUAGUAAUCGCGGAUCAGCAACGCCGCGGUGAAUGCGUUCCCGGGCCUUGUACACACCGCCCGUCAAGUCAUGAAAGUGGGCAGCACCCGAAGACGGUGGCCUAACCCUUGUGGGGGGAGCCGUCUAAGGUGAGGCUCGUGAUUGGGACUAAGUCGUAACAAGGUACC
RNAcentral lists this ribosomal RNA (270 nucleotides) under uncultured bacterium. RNAcentral's name for it is "partial 16S ribosomal RNA". It matches the Rfam family "Bacterial small subunit ribosomal RNA", at positions 1234 to 1500 of the family's 1533-position model. The record is from RNAcentral.